UACGUAGGGGGCAAGCGUUGUCCGGAAUUAUUGGGCGUAAAGAGCUCGUAGGCGGUUUGUCGCGUCUGCUGUGAAAACUCGGGGCUUAACUCUGGGCCUGCAGUGGGUACGGGCAGACUAGAGUGCGGUAGGGGAGACUGGAAUUCCUGGUGUAGCGGUGAAAUGCGCAGAUAUCAGGAGGAACACCGGUGGCGAAGGCGGGCCUCUGGGCCGUAACUGACGCUGAGGAGCGAAAGCGUGGGGAGCGAACAGG
RNAcentral lists this ribosomal RNA (253 nucleotides) under uncultured bacterium. Its description in RNAcentral is "partial 16S ribosomal RNA". It matches the Rfam family "Bacterial small subunit ribosomal RNA", at positions 524 to 776 of the family's 1533-position model. The record is from RNAcentral.